This 253-nucleotide ribosomal RNA is filed under the name uncultured bacterium. RNAcentral's name for it is "partial 16S ribosomal RNA". It matches the Rfam family "Bacterial small subunit ribosomal RNA", at positions 524 to 776 of the family's 1533-position model. The record is from RNAcentral.
UACGUAGGCAGCAAGCGUUGUUCGGAGUUACUGGGCGUAAAGAGUGUGUAGGCGGUUUGCCAAGUUUGGUGUGAAAUCCCUCAGCUUAACUGGGGAACUGCGUCCGAUACUGGAUGGCUUGGAUUUGGGAGAGGGAUGCGGAAUUCCAGGUGUAGCGGUGAAAUGCGUAGAUAUCUGGAGGAACACCGGUGGCGAAGGCGGCAUCCUGGACCAAUAUUGACGCUGAGGAGCGAAAGCCAGGGGAGCAAACGGG